GAGGGUAUAGCUCACUGGUAGAGUGUGUAUUUAACAUGCACAAGGUCCUGGGUUCAAUUCCUAGUUUCUUCU
RNAcentral lists this transfer RNA (72 nucleotides) under Camelus bactrianus (Bactrian camel). It matches the Rfam family "tRNA". From Rfam's summary of the family: Transfer RNA (tRNA) molecules are approximately 80 nucleotides in length. Their secondary structure includes four short double-helical elements and three loops (D, anti-codon, and T loops). Lineage: Eukaryota; Metazoa; Chordata; Mammalia; Artiodactyla; Camelidae. The record is from Rfam by way of RNAcentral. RNAcentral also lists the same sequence under 2 other names.